UACGAAGGGGGCUAGCGUUGUUCGGAAUCACUGGGCGUAAAGGGCGCGUAGGCGGCUUUAUAAGUCGGGGGUGAAAGCCUGUGGCUCAACCACAGAAUUGCCUUCGAUACUGUAGAGCUUGAGACCGGAAGAGGUAAGUGGAACUGCGAGUGUAGAGGUGAAAUUCGUAGAUAUUCGCAAGAACACCAGUGGCGAAGGCGGCUUACUGGUCCGGUUCUGACGCUGAGCCGCGAAAGCCAGGGGAGCGAAUGGG
Molecule: ribosomal RNA, 253 nt
Filed under: uncultured bacterium
Lineage: Bacteria
Description: partial 16S ribosomal RNA
Rfam family: Bacterial small subunit ribosomal RNA
Source: RNAcentral